UGCAUGGUUGUCGUCAGCUCGUGUCGUGAGAUGUUGGGUUAAGUCCCGCAACGAGCGCAACCCUUAAGCUUAGUUGCCAUCAUUAAGUUGGGCACUCUAAGUUGACUGCCGGUGACAAACCGGAGGAAGGUGGGGAUGACGUCAAAUCAUCAUGCCCCUUAUGAUUUGGGCUACACACGUGCUACAAUGGACAAUACAAAGGGCAGCGAAACCGCGAGGUCAAGCAAACCCCAUAAAGUUGUUCUCAGUUCGGAUUGUAGUCUGCAACUCGACUACAUGAAGCUGGAAUCGCUAGUAAUCGUAGAUCAGCAUGCUACGGUGAAUACGUUCCCGGGUCUUGUACACACCGCCCGUCACACCACGAGAGUUUGUAACACCCGAAGCCGGUGGAGUAACCUUUUAGGAGCUAGCCGUCGAAGGUGGGACAAAUGAUUGGGGUGAAGUCGUAACAAGGUAGCCGUAUCGGAAGGUGCGGCUGGAUCACCUCCUUUCUA
This 494-nucleotide ribosomal RNA is filed under the name Staphylococcus aureus. RNAcentral describes it as "bacterial SSU rRNA". It matches the Rfam family "Bacterial small subunit ribosomal RNA", at positions 1042 to 1533 of the family's 1533-position model. The record is from RNAcentral. Lineage: Bacteria; Bacillati; Bacillota; Bacilli; Caryophanales; Staphylococcaceae.